CUCCGCCCCGCUCCCCUCGCUCCCUCUCGGUGAGCUGGGGGCUCCCGGGGGCACCACCGGGGGCUCCCGGGGGCACCACCUGGGACUCCUUGGCUCCCUGAAAUCCGGGUGGCGCUGCAGUCCUGAUCCCCCCGGCCUGCGUCUCCCCAACUUUCCCGCUGAAUCUUCCAGUUCCGCGCCACCCUCCACCUCCCGUAGUGGGCACAGUAGGGCCCUUCCGGCAACCGGAUCCUGGAUUGCGUUCCACAUCCCCAGAUAGUGGAAUACUUGUGGAAUUAACGUCGUCAUCAAAUACAUUGAGCUCCAGCCACAAGCUGGGGUUGGAGGUCACCUGAAGCAAACGCCUCAGCUCUCCACGGUUCGCCUGUAUUCUGCCGUUCCAUCGGCGAUGACCGCAUCCAGGGGAUAGCGCUUCUUGCGGAUGCUGCGCCCGGAGGAGAUGAGGUCGGCAUAGCCACGCUGGUGGGAGAAAGCGUAGGCCGAGCGCCGUGCGGACACGCCCCGGCGGAACACAUUCUGCCGCCGCUUCCACUGCUCUUCGGCUUUUAACCGCUUUCGGUGCUUCUGAAUCUACGAAAGCAGGAGAGAUGGGAAAAUACCAACCUGUAAAUUGAAAUGCAGAUGGAAAGAGAACAUGUAUUCCGGCACUAUGAAGGUCAAACAUGAUGCCAAAAUAAAUUGCAAUGCUUCCAAAAAUUGAAAAAGCAUUCACAAAAGUCCAAUAAGAAGUAUCCAAGCCAAUCUGUUGGGAAACCAGAGAAAAACAGAGCACUCAUUUUGGGGAGUUAGCAAGAAAUAAAGGAUCUAAGGAUUCUGAAAAUAGAAUUCAGCAAUUUAAGCAUGGUAUGGCUCGAAUACUGAACAAUCAGAAGCUAUCUUUGACUCAGGCAAGAAAUAGGAAAUAUGUUUGGUAUAAGGGAUGAGAAUAGCAUCCAUUCAUAUUUGCAAAGCAGCAGAGCCUCAGUUGGAGGAAGAAUGGGAGCCAGGCGGAUGUGCACGCUGGUCUACAUACAGAAAUGCAUACAGUACCAACAGGUACUGAAAACAGUUGACUAAAGCCACAUACCUGGAAAUUGACUGUUAUUACAAGAGCAGAGGCAAUUGUGACAGCAAAAGAUUGGUAGUCUGAGGGCGCCUCUCCAUCCUGUCCCACAGUUUGCAGAUAAGCUCCAAGAGGUAUGAAGAAGAGGACCAAAGAUGUUAAAACCCCGUGCAACAAGCUUACGAAGAAUCUCCGGUAGUUGAAUAGUAAGUCUCUUUGUCCCACCAUGUAUAACUCGGGGAAGCGGAGGCUCAGUUUGUCGCUCACAUCCUUAAGGGGAAAACACAAUUACAGUUGAGUGCUGUCCAUCAGGAUCAAAGAACUCAAGAGAUACGUCACAACCUCCAUCUCGAAAGGAGUUGCAACUUGUUAAGUUCUAGGAAGGCAAAAACUAAACAAGAUGAUAAAUCCUGAAUAAUUUCAUUGUGCAGAGAGCAACCUCGUUACUGUAGUCCACCAUCAUUUGAUAUUUAAUUCUGAGACUAGGUAAAGUAUUACUAUUUUGCUACUUAAGAAAGCAGAUCAGUAAUGUUUAAAGAAGUGUAGGAAGCCGAUUUUUACUUUCUGAGAAUACAUUUUUUCUAAUACUUUGGGAAAGCAUUUUCACAUACACAUCGAUGAGUUAAUUCCAAAUUAUUCUUUUUAUUUUUGAAAGCAGUUUCUGUAAAAGUUGCUACUAGAUAAAAUGCGGACUAAUUUGGAAAUUAAACCUGUAAGUUUGGGGAGGUAUUAAAAUAAUUUACUUUAAAGAUGUGUAAGUUGUUAUUGUAGAGACAUACUGUUAGGUAUCUAACAAGAAAAUCUUAGUGUCCGAAAUGAAGGUAAUAAACUCUUUUGUCAAUGAAUUCAACCCAAGCACAGAAAUCCUCUUUUCUUACUAUAAAACAAGCAUAGCAGUUGCUCUGAUUGCCUGACAGCAGAAAUAUAAUAGGGUUUACUCAGAAAGAAGUGAAACCCAAAAGAAUGCAUUGAAAUAUUUGCUUUGAAACAGUCACUCAGUCUGUCCAGAAGCGACCCUGUCAGCGCCAGGCUCCUACCUGGUCGAGCAGCCCCAUGAGGAGGACGGGCAGGCUGGUGUAGAUCACAUUGUAGAGGGUGAUGAACCAGUCUUCGUACGCGGUCUGUGAGGAGAUGACAGAGUCUGUGUCACCGACGAAGAAAUGUCGCCCACCUAGUUAAUACGUGCGCAUCUGCCCUCAAAGCAGGGGUGUCCCCAGGGAAAGUAAACACCCCUCCCCCCACCAGCUAUGCCAGUAGCAGGCACGAGUUUGUUUUGAUGGAAUGGACAGAAUCAAAGGGCUUUCCACAGGCAAUUAUCUUCCCCGUAAAAUAAGUGGGGAAAUAGACUCUGAAAAGUUUUUGGAAGAGGAGUCUGGUCUAUUUGAAGAAUGCUGGAAAACAAAUCAGUGUUCAUCGUCUUUUAAUAUCCCUUUUAUUAAUGAAUUAGAUUACAUACAACUGGUUCAAAAGCACGUAAGUACCGUUCAAAUAUACUUUUCUCUUGCCAGUCCAGCAUUUCCAUUUAAACAUUUUAUGAACCAGAAUUUGAAUAUAAGAAAGAUGCUUCUGAAAAGGAUAAGCAAGGCUGUGCCCACCCCAGUCCUCAGUGGGGGAAUAGAGGAAAUGGGCUUACUCAGCACCAACAGUGAUACACCGUCCUGCACAGAAACAGGAAGAAGGCCCCAACCUUGCUCAAAACCCCAAGACAUCCUGGCCUCCAGUUUCUACACCUGGCCUCCUCUCAUGCCAGUUGUCUGUAGCAUAGCAUCAAAGAAGUUUGGACAACCACAGGCACACUAAUGGUGUGUUUCUGCCAUAUCAACAAUUUAACAUUGUAGAUAUGCCCCCACUCCCAUUUCAGCAAAAUGUUAAAAUUUAAAAACCAACAGUGGAGACGUGAUGUUAGAUCUAUGAUCAUCCCCAAUUUAUAUAAUCCCUUCAGCCCCAAUGUAAUUUUAUACUUAAAUUUGAACAAUUUUUUCAAAGUUGAACAAUUUGUUAUCACUAUUCUUAAUGGCAAGGUGACUUGGGAAAAAAAAAAUCUAUGGUGAAGGCAAAGAAACAUAAACAAAAGUCAACAGACCAGGAACAAAUCCUACUUUUUUAAAGGCAAAAUAAAAUAGGUUUAAAGCACCAGAAACAUUUUAGAAGAUUCAUAAACUUAAUCUGUACCUCAGCUGUUAAGAGAGAGCACCAAAACUGCAAAUAUGGAGGGGGAAGAAAAUUUCAGACGUAGUUUUAUUCAUGUAAGAGAAGAGCUCUACUCAUUUAAUAAUAAUGAUGAUGGUAUAUUACCUGUGCAGAGUACCCGUUGAAGAAGGAGUACCAGAAAUGAACCAAAGUAAAUGAAAAGUUUUUAUAAAAGAAGUAUCGUAGGAACUUGCACAUCCUUAUGUAAGACCACCUGCCGUGCACCAACAGCAGUCUCUGCAAGUAUCUGAACUGUGCAAAGGAAUAGUCACUUGACAUGACAGCUUGCAUGCCUUCUUGUCCACUUAUUCCAACACCAAUGUGGGCAGCUGUGGGGGUGGGGAGAAGAUAACUGAAUCAUAAGCUUAUUUUAAGGCAAAACAUUGAGAUGAUAAAAAUGUUUCCGUAGCAAUACAAAAAAAACCCCUCAAAUUUAUGAAACAAUAAAUGUGAAAACUGUUGCUCACCAUCCCCCACCCCCAGCUUCUGAACUCAGAAGUACGAGUUGCUAAACAUAGCACGUGGUUGGGCUUCCAUAAAUAUUUGUGAAAGGAUCUCAAGUGGGUAAUGAAUUCCAUUUGGAUUAUCUGCCCAGCUCAUAAGCCAUCCUUCUCAUCCAAAGGGUGAGCCCCAGGCAUCCAUGUGUACCGUGUGUCCCUGCCUCCCUUGCCACAGCUGAGUCAGCCAUGGGCAGAUACAUAAUCUAUGGUAGAUACUACGAAUUGGCUCUCCUUCAUUCUAGAACUUUUGUUCUAAUUGGAGAGGUGGGAAAGCAAAUAAAAACCCUACAUUGCUUCGA
Lagenorhynchus albirostris (white-beaked dolphin) is the source of this 4031-nucleotide long non-coding RNA. RefSeq lists it as uncharacterized. The record is from RefSeq and is a predicted model, not a curated record. The transcript has 3 exons. NCBI's taxonomy places the organism in Eukaryota, Metazoa, Chordata, Mammalia, Artiodactyla, Delphinidae.